GCGCCGUGGGGGCACAUCCGGGCACUGGGGCAGGAUGAAUGCUCCUUUCCAAGAUGGCGGCGGAGGGAGGAGGGAAGGAGAUGAACGAGAUUAAGACCCAGUUCACUACCCGGGAGGGGCUGUACAAGCUGCUGAGCCACUCGGAGUACAGCCGGCCCAACCGGGUGCCCUUCAACUCCCAGGGCUCUAACCCGGUCCGCGUCUCCUUCGUCAACGUCAACGACCAGAGCGGCAACGGCGACCGGCUCUGCUUCAAUGUGGGCCGGGAGCUCUACUUCUACAUCUACAAGGGGGUCCGCAAGGCUGCUGACUUGAGUAAACCAAUAGACAAAAGGAUAUACAAAGGAACACAACCAACCUGUCAUGACUUCAAUCACUUAACAGCCACAGCAGAAAGUGUCUCUCUCCUAGUUGGCUUCUCUGCAGGCCAGGUCCAACUUAUAGACCCUAUUAAAAAAGAAACUAGCAAAUUAUUUAAUGAGGAAAGACUAAUAGACAAGUCCAGAGUAACCUGUGUAAAAUGGGUCCCAGGUUCGGAAAGCCUUUUCCUAGUAGCUCAUUCCAGUGGAAAUAUGUACUUGUAUAAUGUGGAGCACACUUGUGGUACCACAGCCCCACACUACCAGCUACUUAAGCAAGGAGAAAAUUUUGCAGUUCACACUUGCAAGAGUAAAUCCACAAGAAAUCCUCUACUUAAAUGGACCGUAGGCGAGGGUGCCCUGAAUGAAUUUGCUUUUUCCCCUGAUGGGAAAUUUUUGGCAUGUGUAAGCCAAGAUGGCUUUCUUCGUGUGUUUAACUUUGAUUCAGUGGAGUUGCAUGGUACAAUGAAAAGCUACUUUGGGGGACUACUAUGUGUGUGUUGGAGCCCAGAUGGGAAAUACAUUGUAACAGGUGGCGAGGAUGACUUGGUAACAGUUUGGUCUUUUGUGGACUGUCGAGUAAUAGCUAGAGGCCACGGACAUAAAUCAUGGGUUAGUGUUGUGGCAUUUGACCCAUACACCACUAGUGUAGAAGAGAAUGAUCCAAUGGAAUUUAGUGGCAGUGAUGAGGAUUUCCAAGACCUUCUGCAUUUUGGUAGAGAUCGAGCAAAUAGCACACAAUCUAGGUUAUCAAAAAGGAACUCUACAGACAGUCGUCCAGUAAGUGUUACAUAUAGGUUUGGUUCUGUAGGCCAAGACACACAACUCUGUUUGUGGGACCUUACAGAAGAUAUUCUCUUCCCUCACCAACCUCUUUCACGAGCAAGGACACACACAAAUGUUAUGAAUGCCACAAGUCCACCUGCAGGAAGUGGUGGAACUAAUCCAGGAAGUAAUGGAAACAGUAUCACAACACCUGGUGGAAACUCAGUACCCCCUCCUCUUCCACGGUCAAACAGCCUUCCACAUUCUGCAGUCUCAAAUGCUGGCAGUAAAAGCAGUGUCAUGGAUGGUGCCAUUGCUUCUGGUGUUAGUAAGUUUGCAACCUUAUCGCUGCAUGAUCGGAAGGAAAGACACCAUGAAAAAGAUCACAAGAGAAAUCAUAGCAUGGGACAUAUAUCUAGCAAGAGCAGUGACAAACUGAACCUAGUUACUAAAACCAAAACGGACCCAGCUAAAACUUUGGGAACACCUCUCUGUCCCAGAAUGGAAGAUGUUCCCUUGUUAGAGCCUCUUAUCUGUAAAAAGAUAGCACAUGAAAGACUGACUGUGUUAAUUUUUCUUGAAGACUGUAUAGUCACUGCUUGUCAGGAGGGAUUUAUUUGCACAUGGGCAAGGCCUGGUAAAGUGGUAAGUUUUAAUCCUUAAUGCUGCAUCAAAGAAUUAGAACUUUGAAUAGGUAGUUUUCUCAAUAUAUCUGAUUAUUGGAUAUAAAAUCUCUUUAUGCUUAAUGUAAAAAGGUUGUUUCCUUAGAGCCAUACUUUUGGAUACUGCAUGCCAUAUUUCUGAAUUAUUUGAAGUGUCUUGGGGACCGUUUCUUAGUUGCCUUCCAACCAGAGAAAUACUGUGUAUCCAAAGUUUGUGUUCCUAUAUUUUCAAAAUUUUAUAGUAUAAACACAACAUGGUAAAGGCAUAGAUUUAAAAGUGUUCAAUCACUAAAGUAACAAUAUUAGUUAUUCACACAUUUUUCCUAUGCUGCUAUUUUCCUGGGUUUUGAAAUACUACUGCUUUGAGUAUACCAUGAAAUGCUAGCUUUUUUAGUGUUUAGGUAUCUUAUUUGAAAAAACACAAGCGUUUUAACACUAACUUCUUAUGGAUUUCUUCAGUAUUAAUACAUAUCUGUCAACUUGUGAGCAAACUUUUCAAACCCUGUGCUGACCAUAUUAGAAAUAAUUCAUAGUACAAUUGCCUGAAAUUGUAUAUCUGUCCUACUGUACUAAUGAGACUUUUUUUUGAACCUGUAUAAAGGUUUUGAUUUUUAUAGGGCUCAUUAUCAUGAGAAGAAUCAUAGCCACGGUUAAAAAUCUGCAUAAACCAUAUCAUGUUUGGUCCAGUAGUGUCCAUUUUACUAGCCAAAUAUGGAGCAAAACUGAAUUUUUUAGCACAGACCUUUCAAUCAAUCAAUCACAUCUACCAGUUUACGGUAAUUUGUAGGAGUUUUACCCUCUAUUGUAAAAGCCUUUGAAUCUUGAAUAUUGAUUUUGUCCAUUACAUGGCAUUUUCUUCUUGUUUUUUUUAAUGAGCCUAAAACUGUCAUCUUACAGCCUCAAGCACCUUCCAUGUCAACAUAGCUUUAAAAUUCUGAGAUGAAAUACAGUUCUGAGAAACCAUUGCUAACCAUUGAACCUGCAGCAGGUGCGCUCAUUUAUGUCUGAUUACUUGUGUAAAUUAUUUGAAUAUUUUCCUAAUUAGACAAUAUAUAGAGAGAGUUCCUUAAUGCUAAAACUGUCUGAUUCUUUAGAGCCAUCUAUGGAGCAAUAAAUUUGUUCCAGAAAACUAAAAUGCACUACAACUUAUCUAUCUUCAGAUUUCUGUUGCAUGUCUAAAAAUGACAUGACUAUAGAAUUAAUCCUUUUUAAAAAGAGGUGAUGCUAGCUGCUUUGAAACUCCAAGCACAUAUUCUUAAAGCUCCUCAAGUUUGAUUCUGAAAUCUCAUAUUAUAUGCACACACAGAGAAUUUCUUCCACUUAGUAUCUCUGCACACUUACUUAGUGGCUAGAUCAAUUAAGUCUGAACAUAGUGAAUCUUUCUCUUGAUGAUAUGGGGAAGGGGCAUUACUUACUUUAAAAAUAAUCAGUACAUGAGAAUCAUGUAACUGAAAAUAGUGAAACUACAUUACAGUGGAACUAGAACAUCUGUAAAUCAGUACAAGUCACAAACAUUCUUGUAAAAGUAACUUUAAACGUGCAUUAGUGUCUCAGCUUUCCAGAGAAUAUUGCCUUUUUGCGUAAAUGUUAACCCAGAUUGUGUGUGUUUUCAAAUAUUUGCUUUUUUUCUUUUAACUAGUAAAUUAGGUUUUUUCUUAAACUGCUGAGCGUAACUUAGACUGUUUUUGUGCACAAAUGGUUUUGAUUUAGAAUAUAUAUAUCUCAGAUAUUUCAGAGAUAGAGUAUGCAGUACCCAAAAAUGAGGAUUUUUGUCUUUGGCUAAUAUGGAAAACUUUAAUUACAGGUAAGUUAUUUUCAUGCUGAAGUUCUCAAUCUUUCAGAUUAAUAUAUUGCACACCGAUGUAAAUGCCAUAUUGAUUAGGAUAUAUUUACUUCCCUAGAAAGAUAUUUUCAAAUGGACUUUGUAGCUCUUUCUUUAUUUGCAUUUACAGUGAGUUCUUGCUAUUUAAAAUGUGAUGGCAUGUUUACAGGGUUUUGAUGGGGAAGUAUCUGUGCCAGAAAGAUAAGCGUCCUUUGGUUUAUAAGAUAGAGCACUUAUUAUAAUUUUAUGCAUAUUUAAUGAGUGGUGAAAGUAUAAAAACACUCAUGGGAACAUGUCACUUCUGGGUUAUAGACCACAUAUUUCUAUAUUGCCAAUGGUUUUAUCCUUGGCUAAGUGUCACUUUGGAGUUUAAAGCUGCUAUCUUCUGUCUUGCUCCCAUCAUAUGGGUUCUUGACAGUUCUGGAAGAGUACCCUCUGCACCAUUUUUUUUUCUUAAUUAAAAAAAAAUAAUCCACUGUUGCCUCACAAACCACCUCAUCUGAGUGCCAACCAUAACCAACUCAAGGAAAAUUAAACUAGCCUGGCAAUAGAAAGCGCCUGUACCAGUGAGCCAUCUCCUACCUUUCCCUCUCAUUUGCCUCCUCUUGUAAGAGCCACCAAAGCACUUACUGUGCAGUCUAAAUGACAGUAUGCCGUGUAUUUGCCACUAAUUUACAAAAAGAAGGCAUUGAGGCUCAGGUGAAGAGUGGUCUUGCUUAGUUUAGACAGAUUGAAUCUCUUGUCCACAGUGUGGUCUCCACUGGCCUUGGCUGAAAAUCCAGAAACGGAUCUUCAGCACUGAUUCCAUGAGGCCAUUAUGAUGCACUGCCAUGCCAGUCUCCCAUAGCCUACACUGCAAGCUUUAUGAAUUACUUCAGUUUACUCAUCAUACCUUGAGCUUUCUUAUUGGCUACAUUGUUCUAGUAAAGUAUGUGAUCCAAACAUGCUUCUUUUAAAUCAUCACACUAACACUUGGUGAAAAGCAUUGCAAGGGGUUUACAAAAUGAGUAAAACAAAUUGGGUGGAGGUAAAGAAUUGUUUUCAUUUUCUGAAAAAGAAUGAAUUUUUUAUCUUAAUUUGAUCCCUUCAUUUACAAAUUUCACUUUCAUUUUAGGAACUGUAAUACCAUCUUACACACUCUUCCUGAGGGUUUGAAUUCUGAGAUGUAUUUUUCUUUCCUUAGUUGAGUAACUGCUAUCAGAUUGGCCAUGGGGAUUGCUCCAUAGAUGGGUCUUAGAAAGUUUCAUCUUAUCCUUUAACCUGUCUGAAAACAACUUAAAUAGGAGAGAAUUAGAAAAGUGAAAUUGCAUAUGAAUCACAUUGCCAUUUACUUUAAAACCAAAUUAUAAGUACUAUAGAUACCAUAAAAAUGCUUUAUCACUACAUGCAAAGGAAUUUAAUAAUUCCUUUAAACGAUUUUCCUAGGCAUGAAUGUAGCUUCCCAAACUAAGUUACUUCAAUACAGUACAAAAUAAAUUUCAUUACCUAAAUGUUUGAUACUAAAAUUUAACUUGCUUAUCUUGUACAACCACAUGGUUUUAAUUUAAGGAAAAAUUACCACUUAUUUCUCUUCUGAGAGCUCAAGGUAAGAUUGGAUAGAAUUCCAAAAAAGUGAAAUGGCAACAUAUAUCUGGAAGACUAAAUACGUUACCAUUUAUUGAAACAAUGCACAUGAAAUUUCGAAUGUUUUUUAUUCUUAUUGUACAUGAAAAUCUUAAGUAAUAUCCUUAAAUCUUCCAACUAGCUACAGUUGUAGUACGGUAUGUUUUAGUAUGACUUUUUUAUGUUUUUGCUAAAAGUACUUAAAGAUUCAUGUAUUAUACUUCGGUGAGUGGGGAGACUAAGCUAUAUGUGAGUUCUUCCUCGGAGGGGGGAAGCAUUUUUUCAAUACAACUGAAGUUUAAUUACUGGUAUUUUGAAGUACUGUCAUAUAGAAAUAUUUUCAUGUGAUAACAGCAUCUCUGUAAAUGCUACAGUAAAACUGAAUCAUGACUGUAUGAUUUCAGGGUACCAAGGUGAAAUUUGAAGUUUCCUGUAAUGUGCAUAUACUAGCAAACAAAAUUGCACAUAUAGUACUCCCUCAUUAGCAGGUUGAAUUUAUACUAAUAUACUGGUUUGACUUAUGAAUAGCGAGGUGUGGCAAAGUGACUUCAGUGAAGCCAGGAGAGAUCAUAACCCUUUAUAAAAGGUCUUAUAAGUGCAGGUUUCUGGAUUAGGAAAUCACACGACUUUUACUAAACACUUGCAGACAUGCCAUGCUUUGAACUAUCCUCUUUUAAAAACUUGGUUAUGUGCUUGAAGAGACUGUAUAAAUCUGCCCCUUUAGUGUCUUAAAUCUACUAAAAUGAUACUGAAAAAAAUUGUUGGCCUGCUUAUGUUACAAUAAUGAAAUUCAUGUCAGUUAAUUUACUGUGGCACAACUUAGCUGUAAAAGUUAAACAGUUUUUUUUCCUGCAUUUUUACCAAUUCUGUAUACUUGAGUUUGUUAAAGAUUGAUAUGUUAGAGGUGAUAAUGUACAAAAUUGUAUUGACUAUACCUUUAGUGAAAAUCAAGAGAAUUCAUAUGUAUUUCCUUUUUACACUUCCAUCUAAUUUCUUGACACCUUGAAUAAAUUUCAUAGAGCCUUUCUAACAUGAAAUAUUGUUAAAUUAACUGUUGCAAUAAUUAAGCUUUAAUAAGUAUUGUUGGUAUAUUUAUAAUUUUAAAAAUCAAGUUUGUUUCAUACUGCUUAUUUUUUAGCUAUUCUGUUAUCACUGUUACAGCUGAAGAACCUUACUAAAUACUUGACAUUACAGAAUUUGCUGAGGUUGUCCUCUGUAUACUGACGUUAAAUAAAAUGUGACUGAAUUAUAAAUGUAGAUAAUUUUCAAUACUCCUUUUCACAUCUAAGUUCUGAAAGCUGGGAUAUAAGUUAGGUUUUUUUCCUGCAUGCUAUACAUGCCUUUUUGAACAGAUGGCUGCAGUGAAACAUCUAGCUUUUUAGCUGCUAUUUUAUAACGUAAGGAAUUGGCUAAAUCAUGCAGUUUGAGUAAAUAUUCAGAAAUUGUUCUCAAGUUGAUAUUAAAUCAAAUGUGGGAUUAGAUGUCACUUCCAACUCUUGAAAUAUGUUGUGACGUUCUUGUUUACUUUUUAAAUCCUUAAAUAUCAGAACAAUGUGAAAAUUCCAUUUUAAACUGAUUCAGUAAUUCAGACAUUGGUACACUAGGAUGUCAAUAUAUAACCAUCAAGCAGCAGUUGGAAUGGAGAAUUUUGUCUUUGGACUCUUCAGGAUCUGUAGAUUCAAGCUGUGUGUUGGUCACAGUCCUAAAUAGACCUUGAGACGUACUAUACAAAACUGAGUUCACAGCCCUAAAGGAUGUGCUUUAAAAAAGUCAAUUCAGGUGCUUCAUACCUAGAAAUAAUAUCGUAGGGCCAGAACAGACCAAGUCUGACAUUGACUUGGAUAGUCAAGUUAGGCUACAAUGUUGCCCACUCACUCCCAUCAGAGGCGCAUGGGAACAGCUGAUCAAGGUUUUCCAUCCCUUAAACCAGAGUUCAGGUUUAUUCACAUAAGCAUUUAACAAAAAUGAUAUUCUUGAAGUUGUUUCCCAGGUUUGAGCUUUUCUAACAGAGCCUUCAAAUUCUCCUUAUUUCAUUGUAUGUAAGUUUUAGAGUCAUUAUGAGCCCUGGCAAGGAGAAAUCAAUUUCCUGGUUGGUGAAACUCCCCUGGAGCUUUCUGAUGAUUGGGGAAGAUUCUUCCUUUAUUGGAUUUAAAUUCUUCAUGGUCUGGCAUUUGAAUGAACAACCUUGGUGUGACUGAGCCCGGUAGCACUUUUGGAAGAAUGUGGUGAGAGGAAAGGUGAAAUCUAUCCUGACAGUGUGAUGUGGGAAUGUCUGUAAACAAGAAUGGGUUGCCCUAACAAGUUCCACAGGAAUCAGUGGGAACUGGAAAGCAAUCUGCCAUUCCCUAUUCUAGUCAUAAUGGAUACUUUAGUAAAACUCCCAGCUGUAACUUGACUUCUGUUUUCCUUUUUAAAUAUCUCUUGCACAAACAUCCAUAAGGAAAGUCAGUGUGAUUGUGCUCUAGUCUAAUUUGAAAGUUCAGAUUUGAUUGGAACAUUCAUCAACUUCACUGGUUUCCAUCCAUUCACUGUUCUCAGAUUGAGAGUUCACAUAUUCUUGGCUGCUGUAAUUUCUACUCAAAUUUGCCUGGUUUUUCGGAAGUCACUUUUUUUGACCUGACACGUGACCUAAAUCUUGCCAGAAGUUCUAGCGUGAAAGGGCUAGAGAAUAUUGCUUUCUGUACUGGAGUACUUUAUUCCUAAACUAGGUCAAAGCUUCCAUGCCUGGGUGGGAUUAGGACCCUGCCAGCAAAAGCAUACAUGCACUUCAGCAGGUCUUAGUGAAGAUACACAAAGCAGUUACACUCAUGAGGGUAUAGUUUGUCCCUUGGACCACAGACACCUUUCAUAUGUAGGCCAAAGUGUUGAGCCCUUAAGGUAUGGUAAACUUACCUCUGGAUGUUUGGGGCAAAGAGUUUUUACAUAAAAGAGUUUUGCCACACAAGUUAAGGAUGGAAAUAAACUUCAGUAAUUAAAUAUAUGCUAAUAUAUACCAGAAGUAAAAUUGCAACUGAAUCACUUGUGUUGCUGCCGCAUACGUUUACAAGGAAUUUUAUCCUACUUGUAUGUAAUCUAUACCUCGGCAUACUACACUACUUCAGCAAAACAAGAAAAGACAAGUAAAUACUUUAGCACUAAACAAUUCCCAUGAAGCAAAUAAAUCUUUAAAAAAGGAAACCAAACAAGCAUUUUAAAUAGAAAUUACUAUAACAUUGGCUUUCCCAUAAUUUCCCGUUCUCCCAGGCUCUUGCAGUUCAAGGAGUCUUCUGCUACACGAUGGGUGUAUGUUCAAAGGAUUUGCCCUUUUUUAAAAAACAUUUCAACGCAAGUUCACAAGUUGAUCUUAUGACUCCAUUAGGAAUUAUUUGAGCUAGUAAAGAAAUUCAUGCAGUUUAGUUCCUCGUUUUAACAUUUAAAACACUUAUCAAGCUACUUGUUGAGGUCUCAUUUAAACAAAGUUUUUAUCAGUUUAAAACUGUGAGCUCAGAUUUAAAUCAGUGUAACUUUGUGGAUACUUUGAUUGGUUUAAUUUGCAUCUUGGCAGCGCGAGCCUGUCUAACAAGUUAAAAACUGGAUGUAGUGUCUAAGUAAGCUUAAGGCCUGAUUUACACUGCUGCAGCUUCAUGGUGGGUGUAUAAAGUCUGAAGAUUAUCAAGUGGAUCAUAUAGAACCCAGUUACCACCAUAUGUGUUGCUUCACAUUUUUCAAUUUCUCACUGAGAUACAUCAGGUAGAAGGUAUAUUUUUCUUAAUACCUAAAUUUCUGCAAGUUGGACUAAUCUAUUCCUCCUUUGGCUGCAAUCAAUUUUAUCUUCAUAUUUGUAACUCUGUGGUCACUUUCAUCAGCACUAAUCUCAUUUCAUAUUCAAGUAUUAGCUGAAAGAUUUUGAAAUUCAGACAUUCAGAUUAUUGCAGCUGAGAGUCUGGAACUUUGCAUUGUAAAUUUGUCUUUGCACAUCACUUCAGUCUCAAAAGAUAUUUCAGAGGCUUUGCAAGUUUGUUCUUUCUGAAGGAGAAUUAAAAAUCAAAAUGCCUUCAGUACCAAGAAUUGUGGGUGAGAAUAAGUACUCAAUGUUUUUUUUAAAAGGCUGUCUCUUUUCUGAAUAGAAAAUGCAAAUAUGGCUCAUUCUGAACUUGAUUGGAAUAUCUUUAGAGGUCUAAAUGCCUUUGCAGGAUAGGGAAGGAAAAGCUAAAUGAAUUUGUUUGAGCAUGCUCAAUGAGUACAGUAUAUUAUUUCAGACCCAUUUAUGAAAUAAUAUAUGUUCUGGUAAGCCUGACUAGUAUUUGAUAGUCCAAGAGACCAUUGCUGAAACUUGAAUUAAAGAACUCUGCAAAAUCUUCCCAACAAAAAGACCAGUUUUAACGGUAGGAAUAAGGAAACGAAUAUAUUAAUUUUGUGCAUCUCCCCUCCCGUCGUGCUUUCUGCAUUUUUUUGAUGCAUUCUAUGAUCUGUAACUUACACAUUUUAUUUUAAGAAGAUUUGGACAUCAUAACUUCAAAAGAUGUCCUAAAAAAGUAACAACUAUCAAAACUAUGAACUUCUUCCUACUUUACAACAGUGAAUGGAGCAAGAUGUGAAUGUUAAAGCUUAACAGGAAUAACAUUUUUCCUCUUGUGGGUUAUGGAUUUUUUUAAUUAGAAAUAAAUUCCUGGUAUGAGUGUUUCGUCUUCUAUGAAUGCUGUUCUAAUUAAACAAUAAAAAAUAGUGUAGGUAAUUAAAAUGUCACCAGUCACUUUUUUUAAUUGGCCCUUGAUGCACACUUAGUAUUCACUAUCUUGUUUACUGAAAACAUAGCUUAAUACAAUGCAUAUUAUGCACCAAAAUAAUUUUGUGUGCACAUGGCAGAUUGGAAGUUGCAGUAGGAAUCUGAAUUUCUUCAUACUUUCCAGACUCUAACUUGGAAGUGGGCAACCUGACUCUUGCAUUAGCAGGUUUUUGUACUUAAUUGCUUUUCUGCAAUUUGUGUUUUGUCCCAUCUUCUCUGGGCUAUCCAAGAGUAGUUCAGUUGCAGCAGGCCAUUUUGUCUCCUUAUCUUCACUUCUUUGCUUCUUUUCUGCUUGAACGUAAGUUUUCCUCACAAAUAUUGAUCAUCGUUGGAUGAAAAUUCAUAUUCAUAUGCAUAGUUUAAUGGCCUUUUCUUGCUUUGCUUAUAUGUAAGAAGACCUACAUAACACAGGUUAAAGAACUUCACCUAGUAACUUCUGCAUCAAACCCAUAAUUUGUUUGACCCUAUCGCUUCAAAAAAUAUCCAGUCUCAAUUUAAAGAAAUCAGAUUACCACUUUCAGUUAAAUGUAAUCUGUGAUGCUUGUUUUCAUUCUUGGUCUUAAUGUGAAUUAUACCAUUAAAUUGUUACCCAUUGGAAUAUAUUAGCCAAUAUAGGUUGAACCUCUCUAGUAUGGCACUCUGGUCCGGCAACAUCUGUGGCCUUGCAUGAUUUUAGUUACCUGGAUGCCCACUUAUCAGGGGUUUAGCCAAGUUUCCUGUAGGUCCAUAAUGUUUGUUUGCAACCAUCAGUCCUGUCACACAAUGUUCUGUGUUGUUGUUUAGUUUCAGUUUACCCCUAAAUGUCUUCUAAGAGCACAGUAAGCGGCGGAAGUGUUGGUAAUGCUGCUAGACAACAUUGAAUUUCUGUGGUUCAGCAAAUUCUCUGGGUUGGCACCAACCAGAUCCCAAGGGUGCCGCACUAAAGAAGUUCAACUUGUACUAACUUUUCACAUUCAAAGAGCUGUACAAACAUCUAAUCUUAUCCCAUUUUGAAGUAAUUAGCAGUUAUUGAUGGGCACUAACUGUAUUGGUGGGCACCUGAACCAGGUCUUAUACAGUUCUAAGCAAGGUAGUGUUUCAGGAUAGGGAUUAAAACUUGGGAGUGCCUAAUGUCCAAUCCUAUAUUCAAACCAUGCACCCCAUUUUUCUGAUAAGGUAUUCAUAGCCCAAGAGAUGAGGAUACACCUGAAGAUCAGAGGGUAUGUGCUGCCAUAUUGAUUGGUAGUGCUUCCUAGAAUGGCCACAUGCUAUAUAAAGCCAUACUUUAACACAACAAAUUUCUCGUGUGUUUUACAGGAAGUGACAUUUCAAAUAAGGGUUCCCUAAUCAUUGACAAGGAAUAGUGCCUGUUUCUUUAGUCUGACACCUGAAUACCAUGGUCAUGAACCUAUUAGAAAUACCUUGUUGUUACACCAUCUUUAUAGGAUUUAAUUUGCUUUUACAGUCAUGGGAUUACUAGUGCAUGCACAUGUCAGACCCUGGUUAAUUUAUCAUAAAUAAAAGCGGGCAUAUUGGUACAUUUAGAUGUUAACUACAGAAUAUCCUUUCUCACUGCAUUUUAAAAGUUACUAUGGUCUUCCAAGAAAAUGAAAAUUUUUGGUGUCAUGGUUUAGGAUUAACAGACUCUUGGAAUGUGGUGUGUGAUAACACAAAUUCUGCAUGUGAUUCAGCAUUUCUGAUUUAUACACCACACCAUUUAUUUCCUAAUUUGAAAACAAAAGGCUUUUUGGGGUAACAUUUUCAGAAGUGCCUAAUGACUUAGGUGAUGUUAAAAUGUUUAGGUACAGUUCCAUGCCCUAAGUAUUUUCAUUGCAGUGAAGGCAGGCAAACCAUACGAUUCCUCCUUCUAUGUGAUGCUGAACUCUGAAAUGUGCAACAUCUUUAAGGCCUGAAUAUCCCAGUUGUAUAUGUAAUGACUAUCCCACAAAUAUAUUUCAGUGCAUAAAUUAUGAAAAUCAGUUGUAAAUUGCACAGAGUAAGUGUAGAUGCUACUUACAGAGGGCAGUCUGAAGCAUAGUGCACCAUACCACCUUCUGAGUACCCAUUUUGUGCCACGAACCUCACAAAUCAUGUGGAUGCAUCCCAUGUCUGAAUUGGUGGAUCAGAGAUUUUAAAGGGGAGGCUGAGUUUACCUGAACUUACAUUUUUUGCGACUCAGAUCCACCAAUCCAGAACAUCUUCCACUUCCGUUUGUGGUUUAAGAGAACAGAUUUUUUUCUUCAGUAGGGGUUCCUGGAUUCUUGGAUCCAAGCAAGAAAGAGCUCCUAUAGACUCUGAAGAUGUCACUUAAUUCUACAUUCCUAUUGUUAGUUGCUGUCUGAUCUUGUCUAGCUUGAUGGAUCUGAGUCACAGGAACAUAAUUUAGAGGGUUUAUUGUCAUCCCAAAACCAGGCCAAUUCUCCAAGUGGAACUGUAGUAUAGCCAUCACACUACUGAUAGCGAAUCUUUGAACAAAGGACAAGAAGUAAUGGCAGUGGAACCAGGAGCUGUUCUUCAUGCAGAGAACAUCAGAAAAUAUAAAAUGGCAGUGUAUACACUUUGAAUUAUGUGAAUCACAUAAUUUGCGAAAGAAUAAUGUAAUGAGUUCUUAGUCUGGCUAAUACUUCUAGGCUGCUCAUCCAAAGGAGAAUUUUCCUUUUUAAAAAAGAAAUGCUUCAUUUGGUGUUGCAGUAAAAAAAAAAUUUCUUAAUUUUCUUUAUAUUUUUCAAGUUCAGUGUAAUUUAAUCUAUAUCUAUAUAGAUAUAGAAAGAUGUGUAAAAUAGAGUAUGUUUCUUAAAUCCAAGUAAGUUUAAUGGUUAUAUAAAUUAAUACUUCACCAUUGUUUUUUGCACUGAUUUUUUUUUUAACCAGAGAUGGUUAGAAGACAGCCUGGAAUGCACUCAUGGAGAAAGAAAGUCACUACUUUCUGGCUUAAAUGUAAUUCAGGAAGAUGGAUGCUGCAAUCAGAUUUUUUUAAAGCAAAAUUAUUUGCACUUAGUCUAAUGCUAGUAGAAAAUUACUUUAAAAUGGGUAUUCAGACACCCAUAAAAGCUAUGUUGUGGAAAAAAGAUAUCCUUUGUAUCUAUGAAACAUUUAUUUUAAUAUUGUUUGCAAUUGCAAUCAGCUAUGUAUUAUAUGUAUAAAUGUAAUUCAGUGAUUGGGAGGAAAAUGGAUCAGUACACUAGUAAUUUCAUCUAAGAAAGAUUUCUAAUUCUGAAAAUACAUAUUAAACUAUCUUGAAUAUGCAGUUUUGUUUGUUCUGUUUUAAAUUGGAUCAAUUUUAAUGUAAUCUUUUGUAUUAAAUGACAGGUACAGAAAUACACUAAUCCUUGUAGAAUAUAUUCCUUUAAACUCUUUCACAUCAGGAACACUUUCAUAUUUAAUGCAGUUUAAUUGGAUUAGGGAAAUUAAAAAUUUUCCUCUGUACUUCUUCCUAUUACAACUUACCUCUGAAUACAUUUUCCGGCACAUUCAACAUCAAAAUAUUUAUGAAAAUAGUGCCCUCAGAUUUUUGCAGAUCUCUUCUGAUGCCUUUUAAUAAUUGCAGUUAGUUCAGUUGGUCUCAGAUGUUUUAAUCUUUGAGUUGAAUUGAUUUAAGCUGAUGCUUUUUAUGUAGACAACUGUAACAGUGGUAGGUGCACACACUUUUGUAAAAAUCAGUCAAAUUAUAUACUAAAAUACUGAAGUAGAUUGUAUUUUGACAACUGCUAUGAAAAAAAAAUCAGAUGUCCUUGCUAUCAAUUUAAAAUUUGAGGUAGAAACAAGUGUUUAGAGCCAACUAUUUUAAUUAGUGCAGCUUAAUUGUGGUUGACACUAAUUUUUUUUAUUAUCAAAACAAAGGCCAUUUCAUCUCUCCCAGUAUUUUCUGCAAGGCAAUGAAAGGAAAGCAGCUGUGCUAUCCUGGAUCAAAAUCCAUUAGAAAGGGUGAUUGAAGAUACUGCCAUAUUAUCUCACUGUCCUUCUAAAGGCCCUGCCCCCACUCUGUGAUUCUAUUGUUGGGCUUCUGCUGGACUUGCAGUUGUACAGCUCAGAUGUGAUGGAGUAAAGCUGAGAAGGCUAUUGCUUACAGGAUUCAUUGCCUUCAAAAUGGAAGGACUUUCCAAACAUUUAAAUUGACCUGCAGAAAAUCCCUCAGUUUAAUGCCAAUCCUGAAGGCACGAUCUGGGCCUAAAUUACCAACUAACUUUAUCCCAGAUUCCAACAUCAUCUUUGUAUAGUUGAGUAAAUAUUAAUCACAAUAUGCUAAUGGUCUGUCAAGUUAGAAUAAACUACAUAAUUAUACAGUCAGUGUUAGGAGGACUGCAAGGCUUAUCUAAUCUAACCUGCCAAGAAAACAGAUUUGUUAUGUCUAGACCAUGAAAGACAGAUGGCUGUCCAGACUCAUUUUGAAAACAUCCAGUGAAGGAGCUUCCACAA
Pelodiscus sinensis (Chinese soft-shelled turtle) is the source of this 14370-nucleotide non-coding RNA. Lineage: Eukaryota; Metazoa; Chordata; Testudines; Trionychidae. The record is from RefSeq and is a predicted model, not a curated record.